GGGCGAUUAGCUCAGUUGGCUAGAGCGCUGCCCUUACAAGGCAGAAGUCGCAGGUUCGAGCCCUGCAUCGCCCA
Molecule: transfer RNA, 74 nt
Filed under: Bryobacteraceae bacterium
Lineage: Bacteria; Pseudomonadati; Acidobacteriota; Terriglobia; Bryobacterales; Bryobacteraceae
Description: tRNA-Val
Rfam family: tRNA
About the family: Transfer RNA (tRNA) molecules are approximately 80 nucleotides in length.
Source: RNAcentral